RNAcentral lists this ribosomal RNA (540 nucleotides) under uncultured bacterium. RNAcentral's name for it is "bacterial SSU rRNA". It matches the Rfam family "Bacterial small subunit ribosomal RNA", at positions 1 to 525 of the family's 1533-position model. The record is from RNAcentral.
UAGAGUUUGAUCCUGGCUCAGAACGAACGCUGGCGGCGUGCUUAACACAUGCAAGUCGAACGGGAUUCAGAGCUUGCUCUGAUGAGAGUGGCGCACGGGUGAGUAACGCGUGGAUAACCUGCCCUGGUAUCUGGAAUAACAUCUCGAAAGGGGUGCUAAUACCGGAUAAGCCUACGGAGCCCUCGGUCUCUGCAGGAAAAGGUGGCCUCUAUUUAUAAGCUACCGUAUCAGGAUGGGUCCGCGUACCAUCAGCUAGUUGGUGGGGUAAUGGCCUACCAAGGCGACGAUGGUUAGCUGGUCUGAGAGGAUGAUCAGCCACACUGGAACUGAGACACGGUCCAGACUCCUACGGGAGGCAGCAGUGGGGAAUUUUGCGCAAUGGGGGAAACCCUGACGCAGCAACGCCGCGUGAGUGAUGAAGGCUUUCGGGUCGUAAAGCUCUGUCAGUAGGGAAGAAAUGAACCUGGUUAAUACCCGGGUUUCUUGACGGUACCUACAAAGGAAGCACCGGCUAACUCCGUGCCAGCAGCCGCGGUAAUA